This 91-nucleotide transfer RNA is filed under the name Bombardia bombarda. RNAcentral describes it as "tRNA-Pro". It matches the Rfam family "tRNA". Rfam says of the family: Transfer RNA (tRNA) molecules are approximately 80 nucleotides in length. Their secondary structure includes four short double-helical elements and three loops (D, anti-codon, and T loops). The record is from RNAcentral. Lineage: Eukaryota; Fungi; Ascomycota; Sordariomycetes; Sordariales; Lasiosphaeriaceae.
GGUCUGGUGGUCUAGCGGUAUGAUUCUCGCUUAGGGUUCACCCUACAGCAAUAUAUGCGAGAGGUCCCGGGUUCAAUCCCCGGCCAGACCC